GUCCACGCAGUAAACGAUGAUAACUCGUUGUCGGCGAUACACAGUCGGUGACUAAGCGAAAGCGAUAAGUUAUCCACCUGGGGAGUACGUUCGCAAGAAUGAAACUCAAAGGAAUUGACGGGGGCCCCGCACAAGCGGAGGAACAUGUGGUUUAAUUCGAUGAUACGCGAGGAACCUUACCCGGGCUUGAAAGUUAGUGACGAUUCUGGAAACAGGAUUUCCCUUCGGGGCACGAAACUAGGUGCUGCAUGGUUGUCGU
RNAcentral lists this ribosomal RNA (259 nucleotides) under uncultured bacterium. RNAcentral describes it as "partial 16S ribosomal RNA". It matches the Rfam family "Bacterial small subunit ribosomal RNA", at positions 793 to 1055 of the family's 1533-position model. The record is from RNAcentral.